This 577-nucleotide long non-coding RNA is filed under the name Marmota monax (woodchuck). Lineage: Eukaryota; Metazoa; Chordata; Mammalia; Rodentia; Sciuridae. The record is from RNAcentral.
UAAAAGAAUCUUAAUUAUGAGUAUGUCUCACUACUCAUGAGAUAGACAGUGCAUGAGGUUCCUUGUCCUCUUAAGCUUCUAAUCAACCGAUAAACCAUCUGAUUUUGCUAUCUAAUUUUUCUGCACCAACCUCUCUCUGCAACAGCCUUUUAUUGUCAAAGAUAUAGCAUCUGGUUUUGCAGCCACUGAGGUUUGAAAAAACAUAAUAACCUGUAAAAUCUACAUAUUGCUAACCUAUAGAAACCACAGUUUUAAAUUCUUCAAAACCACUUUGCUACUUUUAUUUUUAACCAGUUCUAAAUAUUAUGUCUACAGCAUAAAAGGAAGAAAGUUAUCUUAUAGUUGUUAUUUUAAACUAUUAUAGACUGCAAGUCACACCUUAAUUUUCUUUUACUUAAACCCCAUCUGCAAUCUCAAAUUUAAGUUCUCCUGGUAGAAAUUGAAUCUGAGCAUGGAUAUCUACUAAGAAUUUCAGCUUCCCACACACAUUUACUAGGAUGAUGAAGACUUACGUUUUCUGCACAUGUCUACAAAAACUAAAAUUAUAAGCUAAUUUAUCCAAGAGCCAAAGUUUGUG